AGCAAAUGCUGGGGAGAACUUUGAUUUAGAUUCUACAGAGUGAUUUAAACUAACAAGAGAGUUGUUGAUGUGGGCAGUGAGACAACUGUGAUCUCUGCAUUUUGUCAGCAUCAUCUGUACUUUUUUGUACUUGGUAAAAAACAUUGUGGACAAUAACCAGCAUCAGUCAAAUUAUGUAAUUUUCCUUCUCUUUGGGAAUUUUAAAUUACAAAUUUAUGGACAACUUAUUAAUUUAUUUCUUUAUCUUGGUAUUUACUUCUCAAACUUCACUUUUCAUAGCUGUAAAAGCUCAUGAGUGAUUGUGAUUGGGAACAGUUCUUAUUAAGGAAAAGUGAAAAUUAACUUGUGGGUUAACACAGCAAUAAGAAGAAGAGAAGAUGUUAAGAAUAAUACACUUGUUAUGGUGGAGAGUGAAGAGGAAACACUGAUCUUUGGCUUUAGGGACUGAUCGAGUGAGGUUUUCUGCCCUAGGAUACACCCAGUCAGGAAGCAGUGACUGUGGUCUGUUCCAAUCACGCCUGCAGAUCUGGCCGGGCUAGAAUCCGUUAGUUGAACGACUUAGCCAUUUAGCAGAGACCAGCUGGUUUCUCACAAAAUCCAUUUCCUGUUCUUGAGCAGUCCCAUAAGCUACAUUUUUCUGCCUCCCUUGCAGUAAUGUAUCACCAUAUAGCUGAGUUCUUUUCUCCCACAUGCUGCUGUUCAUCCCCUUUCCCCAUCUGCAAGCUGGAUGUGGAGGACUCUGAGGUCUUAGAAAAUGAUGAAGAAAUAUAUGAAAGGACCGUGGACCCCAGAAUGACCACGUGGAAUGUUUACUGGUGACCAGGAAUACACAUUUUGAACAUAGAUCUAGGUUGGAACUCUUUAACAUCUUGACCCUGCUAGAGUUUUC
This 889-nucleotide long non-coding RNA is filed under the name Homo sapiens (human). Its description in RNAcentral is "non-protein coding lnc-NID2-4:1". Lineage: Eukaryota; Metazoa; Chordata; Mammalia; Primates; Hominidae. The record is from RNAcentral.